GUCGAGAAUCUUUCACAAUGGGGGCAACCCUGAUGGAGCGACGCCGCGUGGAGGAUAAGGUCUUCGGAUUGUAAACUCCUGUCAUGCGUGAACAAGGUUGCUUGGUUAAUACCUGGGCAAAUUGAUGGUAACGCAAGAGGAAGAGACGGCUAACUCUGUGCCAGCAGCCGCGGUAAUACAGAGGUCUCAAGCGUUGUUCGGAAUCACUGGGCGUAAAGGGUGCGUAGGUGGCGUGGUAAGUCAGAUGUGAAAGCCCGGGGCUCAACCUCGGAACUGCAUCCGAUACUGCCAUGCUAGAGUACUGGAGAGGUGACUAGAAUUCUCGGUGUAGCAGUGAAAUGCGUAGAUAUCGAGAGGAAUACCAAAGGCGUAGGCAGGUCACUGGACAGUUACUGACACUGAGGCACGAAGGCCAGGGGAGCGAACGGG
RNAcentral lists this ribosomal RNA (429 nucleotides) under uncultured bacterium. RNAcentral's name for it is "bacterial SSU rRNA". It matches the Rfam family "Bacterial small subunit ribosomal RNA", at positions 354 to 776 of the family's 1533-position model. The record is from RNAcentral.